UCUCUCCCAUGAUGUCUAUUACUGGAUUCCAGUCAUCCUUGAGGACAUGUUCCCCAGGACCUUUGACACCUGAGAGUCUGAGGGGUUC
Acomys russatus (golden spiny mouse) is the source of this 88-nucleotide small nucleolar RNA. The record is from RefSeq and is a predicted model, not a curated record. NCBI's taxonomy places the organism in Eukaryota, Metazoa, Chordata, Mammalia, Rodentia, Muridae.